UCUCUGGGUUCCACGUGGAUGGCAUUCCCAUUUAGUUUGAGGGAAUUGUAUAUAGCAAGCUUCUUAUUUCUUUCCCUUGUACACUUGAAUUUUCCAAGUCCAGAUAGAAUGUCACAUGGCGUCAAAGUCCUAGCACAAAAAGGUUUUGAUGGAAUUCUUUAAGAAGCGGCUUCCCCCUUUUUUAUAAUUUUCUUUUGAAUUUUCAAACCCAUUUGACAUGGGACUUUGAACCAUUUUGACCUAAGACCCAUGUUUUCUUCCAAUCUGAUAGCAAGCUUUGCUAUCUUUUUUUUAUUUUUUUUAUUUUUUAUUUUUUAUGUGGCUUUAAGGCUUUUAAGUCCAACAACUUCUCUUCUUUUCCACGUGAGCAAGCUCCCACGUGAGGUGCAGCUUUAUUCAUCCUUCUUCCCCUUGCAAGAUGACUUCACAAAUCCUCUUUUUCCUUGGUUCUAACUUCUAACACACGAUGCUCUUCCACCAGAAGCAAAAGGCGGUUCCACAAUACUUGGGCUCCCGUGGAUUGUGUUAUAUUUCAAACUUCUAUUUCAAUUGGGUAUCUGUGGAUUUCAGAGUGAGAAUGGGUCAUGAAAACUUUCAUCUUUUCUGCUGCAUCAUUCUUUUGCUCGUGUGCUUCCUUUGUGGAUCGAAGGCUCAAAACGAAGCGGGGGAGAAAUCAAGCAGGUUACCCAUUUUCGUUUUCUUUACGUUCCGGGUUUGCUUACGUAUUUGGAUUGGAAUGAAACUCUAACUGCGAUGAACUCAUCAAUUCUUUCAUGCAAGAGUUUCUGGCAACAAUAUCUCUUCGAUUUGUUGAACAAACUAUUUUGCAGUACUUUGAAGAAAAGUGUUGAUUCAUGGCUCCAAAGGUGAGAAUUGCCCCCCCCCCUGAAUUUUGAAGUGACGCACUCCUCAUGUCUGCCAUACUUGAAUGAGUCUUUGGGUGUUUAAUGUAAAGGUUACCAUGUGAGUAAGCUUCUCAACUACUUUGGGAAUUUUGACAACAAGUUUUUCCUUCUCUGUGAAUUAGGGACACCUUGAACUCUUUUAAAUCCAACUUCACGUGGCAGAGAAGCAAAUAUCUUUUGGCUAUUUAGAGAUUGGCAAAUUUUCUUUCUUUCCUUUUGUCUUGUAGCCCCUGUCAGUUUUGUUUCAAUACCUUUGGUCAAAAUUUUGACACAAUGUUUGAUCAAAAUGAUAGCCAUACUUAAACAUGAGUCAGUUCCUUUUGUCUUGCACCCUUCGAAAGACGUCUUCUUCUUUUUGUGGAAAUCAAAGCUAUAUUGAGGACUUUUCUUUAUCAAAAUUUUGGCUUCUUUUCCUUUGUUCAUUUGUCAACGUAUGCACUUUUCCUUUGUUCCUGUGUCUCUUUUAUCCAACAUGAUGGCCACGUGAAUGGCUUUCAUGUUAUCUAAAAAAAAGAACUUUUCUUCUUCCUCAUUUUCUUGCGUGACCUUUCAGGUAUAGAACACCAGUAACAUGCCAUCCUCUUAGAUCAUGUUGUUCUAUUUUUGCCAACAAGCUUCUGCACCAUUGGUGAAGAAUAGGUUACUGUCAAUAUGUGGGGUUGAACAAAACCUGCUCUUUCUUUGUUGAAUCCAUUGCUUGUCGCGACAUUGAUGGUUCCCUUCUUUCUCGGCGUGGACGGCGAAUACGGAUCUCUUUAGAUUUGAUUGGAAUUUCACGGGGUGGUUUAGGCCACCCCAAAGAAAUUCAUGGGAUUCUGGGGAUUAUUUCUGUUGCUGUCAGUGGGGAGUUAGAGCUCCUAUGUGUUGGAACUUCACGGGGUGGUUUAGACCACCCUGAAGAAAUUCAUGGGAUUUUGGCAGUUUAUUUCUGCUGCCGUCGAUGGGGAGUCCAGAUCCUCUUCAUUUCACUUUUAAACGUUGCAAUUUUCUUGUAUAAACUGGAGGUUACAGACUCUAGGUAGUUGAUUACACCAUCUUUUUUCACUUUUGUCUGCAACACAACUUUUAAACAAGAGAAAUAAAUAAAUUGAUAGAACUUUGUUUCAUACCUGGUGAUGAAUGUUCUUCUUUGGAUCUUGAUUCAAAAGCACGAAUGGUUGAACUCCUUGUUCUAUUUUCUGGCAGCACUUCAUGGCUUUUGGUAUUUUCUCUCAAAGUUUCUCUAUUUUUCUGCAGAGUAUCCCUUUUUUUUUUUUUUUUUUUUUUUUGUUGUCUCCCUCUUGCUGCAACUGAGGCCUAUUUAUAGGAAUCUUAGGAAGGCUCUAGAGUUUUUUACGUGGGGGAGAUGGAGACCAUGUUUUUCUGCCACUUUCCCUUAAACCUCUCCCGCUGACUCUGCAGUUUUUUCCACGCCUUGCAGAAAAAUAAGAAGCUCCUAUGUUGCACGUUUCUUCCCCCUUUUGUAGGAAGAAAUUCUUAUUUUAUUUUCUAUUUAUUUAUUUAUGGAUGUUGAUUUGUAUGUAAGGCCUAUCCUCAUCUUUUGGGCUGGAUUACAUUUUGUUUUGCCUUGUAGUUUGGCC
This is a long non-coding RNA of Pyrus x bretschneideri (Chinese white pear), 2485 nucleotides long. RefSeq lists it as uncharacterized. The record is from RefSeq and is a predicted model, not a curated record. NCBI's taxonomy places the organism in Eukaryota, Viridiplantae, Streptophyta, Magnoliopsida, Rosales, Rosaceae. The transcript is spliced from 2 exons.